AUUGAACGCUGGCGGCAUGCCUUACACAUGCAAGUCGAACGGCAGCACGGGUGCUUGCACCUGGUGGCGAGUGGCGAACGGGUGAGUAAUACAUCUGAACAUGUCCUGUAGUGGGGGAUAGCCCGGCGAAAGCCGGAUUAAUACCGCAUACGAUCCACGGAUGAAAGCGGGGGACCUUCGGGCCUCGCGCUAUAGGGUUGGCCGAUGGCUGAUUAGCUAGUUGGUGGGGUAAAGGCCUACCAAGGCGACGAUCAGUAGCUGGUCUGAGAGGACGACCAGCCACACUGGGACUGAGACACGGCCCAGACUCCUACGGGAGGCAGCAGUGGGGAAUUUUGGACAAUGGGCGAAAGCCUGAUCCAGCAAUGCCGCGUGUGUGAAGAAGGCCUUCGGGUUGUAAAGCACUUUUGUCCGGAAAGAAAUCCUUGACUCUAAUACAGUCGGGGGAUGACGGUACCGGAAGAAUAAGCACCGGCUAACUACGUG
Molecule: ribosomal RNA, 486 nt
Filed under: uncultured bacterium
Lineage: Bacteria
Description: partial 16S ribosomal RNA
Rfam family: Bacterial small subunit ribosomal RNA
Source: RNAcentral